UAGUGACUUCCUAAAAAAACAUAUAAUUGUGUUAAGGAAAGUAUGAAAUAAAAACAAAUUUUUUGGUAUUUGGUUUUGCUCAUUUCAAACCCUUUUGAUCCAAAGAAAAGAAAAACUUAAAGGAAAGAAUAGCGAGUAACGCCCACUUUCUCUUUUUCAGCACCAAACGCUUCAUUUCCAAAGCAAAAACGACAACUUUUUGAGGCAAACGACAACGAAACAAGCCACCUCUCUUUCAAUCUCAAUCAUCCCUUACUCUACUACAGAGCCCAGUCCCAGGCUCUACUCAAAGGCAUGUUUUUCUUUCUACCCUCUUCUUCUUCUUUGCUCUUCUGUUACAGUCACGUCAAAUAAAGCCGUUAAUUUUUUGGUCAUGUUUAUCAGCAAGACCCAUAUAAUGGAUCAAUCGGUUCUCGAUGACAUAAUCAAUCGCCUACUUGAAGUACGAGGCCAACCCGGGAAGCAGGUUCAGUUAUCUGAGUUAGAGAUCCGUCAGCUAUGUGCAGCUUCUAAAGAAAUUUUCUUAAAUCAGUCUAAUUUGUUGAACCUUGAAGCACCCAUCAAAAUUUGUGGUGAUAUUCAUGGUCAAUAUUCAGAUCUUUUGAGGCUUUUUGAGUAUGGUGGAUUACCUCCUAAAUCCAACUAUUUAUUCUUGGGGGAUUAUGUCGAUCGAGGAAAACAGAGUCUAGAAACAAUAUGUCUACUCCUUGCUUAUAAAAUAAAGUACCCUGAGAAUUUUUUCCUCUUGAGAGGAAAUCAUGAAUGUGCUUCAAUAAAUCGUAUUUAUGGAUUUUAUGAUGAGUGUAAGAGAAGAUUCAAUAUAAGGAUCUGGAAAACAUUUACAGAUUGUUUUAACUGCUUACCCGUGGCAGCCUUAAUCGAUGAGAAGAUCCUCUGUAUGCACGGUGGCCUUUCUCCAGACCUUACUAAUUUGGAUCAAAUAAGAAAUCUGAACCGACCAACUGAUGUGCCAGAUACAGGAUUGCUAUGUGAUCUUUUAUGGUCUGAUCCAAGUAAAGAUGUUCAAGGUUGGGGAAUGAAUGACAGGGGAGUUUCAUAUACUUUUGGUGCUGAUAAAGUCAGUGAAUUUCUUCAGAAGCAUGAUUUGGAUCUCAUUUGUCGUGCUCACCAGGUUGUGGAGGAUGGCUAUGAAUUCUUUGCCAACCGACAACUUGUAACUAUAUUUUCAGCACCAAAUUACUGUGGAGAAUUCGAUAAUGCUGGGGCAAUGAUGAGUGUAGAUGAUUCAUUGAUGUGCUCUUUCCAAAUAUUAAAGCCUUCAGAUAAAAAAUUAAAGUUAAACUUUGGCUGCACAACCACAACCAAACCCGGAAACCCUUCAACAGCAGUAAAUGUUUUUGGGAGCACAACUACAGCUAAACCUGGAAGCAGUCCAGCAGGAGUCAAGCUUGCUUGAUCUAUACGCCUGUAAAUUGAGAAAACUUAUCUUAGUCUAACCAUAUUUGAGGUGAUCUAAUAGUGGAUCAGACACUUCCAGAGCUGUUUGGUAUGCAGGUUUCCUUACUCGGGAAUGAAAAUACAAAAUAUAACCUAUGUUUAGUAUGUAUUUUUAAUUUUUUUGGAUGGAGUUGUCAUUUUACUGUACCCUUACCUUUACAUUAAGGGAAUAUCAACAUCUUCAAAACGUUGAGUUUUAUUUGACUGGAAAACUCGGCCCUUACUUUGAAACGCUCUCUCUUCGUCACUUGGUGAAGCCUUAGCUGUUGUUCGCUUUAUCUUCUUCCUUGAAUCAGUCGGGCUCGGGCUAGGCUUCCUCUCUCUUUGGGACAAGCAGCCUCUUUGCCUUCUGAUGAGGUUGUUUCGAUAUGGUCUCCUCUGUUGGCUGGUUCUAUCAAGGUUGAAAGUGAUGUUGCUAUUGAUAAAAUUGGUGCUUGUAGAGGCCUUGAUAUGGUGGUGCGUGAUCAUUUUGGGUACUGUUCUCGCUUUUGUUGUUUGGUGCCUAGAAGGUUGUCUUGAUCCUAAAGUGGCAGAAGCUUUGGUGCUUUGGAAUAUCAUGGUCCAAUGUCAUUGCUUUGGGUAUGAUAAUAUCAUCUUUGAAAAGAAUUGCUUGAAUAUUGUGCAAAAAGUAGUGAACAAAGUUUCUGUUAUUUCCUUUUUGGAUUUUGUCUUAGAUGAAAUUGGUAAUCUUUGUGAUGGUUUUAAAGAUAUUUUUUUUUUUACAUUAAACUAUAGAUUUAAAUGUUGUUCCCCACACCUUAGCUAAAAUCGCUCUUACGACGUCGAACACUAUUUGGUGGUCGGAUUCUUCAAGUUGUAUUCAAAACUUUUUUAUAGUUGAUGUUACUCAAUAUUGUGUUCUCGCCCCCUCCUUGGAGUUUUCAUUACUCUUAGUGUGGUAGUUGAGACAUUUUUCUCAAAAUAAAUAAAUAAAUAAAUAUCUUAAGCAUCAUCAUAAUAAUCUAGCACAUAACCAAACACUGUAAUGCUUUCCUAAUUUUAAGAUUCGCUUUAUCACUCUCAAAGCAAUCUCAAAUCUAUUCUCAUAAAAUAAAACCUGUAUACCAAACGAUCCUUCGAGAUUAGAGUUUGUCAUGUAUAAUUUGUUUAGUUUUAAAUAUUCUAAGAUUGGGCAAUUUGCUUUAUAAAGGUUUCAAGUGCUGUAAAAUUUCCUUAAUAUAGUGUUCUAUAUUGGAAUAAACUCUAUAAAGUCAUAGUUCAUAAUUUGGAUUAGUUCUUCCUUAUAAAUAAUUUGCAUUAAUCUACAUAUUGCAAAGGCAUAUACUAUAUUACUUUAAAGUUUAAAAGAAAAUAAAAUGUGAAUUUGAUGGCGUGA
Molecule: RNA transcript, 2794 nt
Organism: Cannabis sativa
Lineage: Eukaryota; Viridiplantae; Streptophyta; Magnoliopsida; Rosales; Cannabaceae
Gene name: serine/threonine-protein phosphatase PP1 isozyme 2
Exons: 5
Source: RefSeq, a predicted model, not a curated record